AAAGUCGUAACAAGGUUUCCGUAGGUGAACCUGCGGAAGGAUCAUUAUAAAAAGGACCUUUUUGUUGUUUAAAAAAACAAAAGGCAAUCCUCCUCUCCCGAUUGAUGUCGGGGUUGGAUGGGGGGGACUUUCGAGAUUGCGACUCUGUUCGCUUUCUCGAAAUGGGAACUCCAGUUGCAUUGUCGCAAAAUUUCCAAUGAAUCGACUGUUGGAAAUUCUCGCUUUUGCGAGCAUUUUUAAUUAUUAUUUAAAUUCAAAAACUUUUGACAACGGAUCUCUUGGCUCUC
RNAcentral lists this unclassified non-coding RNA (287 nucleotides) under Glomeromycotina sp. Its description in RNAcentral is "partial contains small subunit ribosomal RNA, internal transcribed spacer 1, and 5.8S ribosomal RNA". The stretch from base 1 to 47 matches the Rfam family "Eukaryotic small subunit ribosomal RNA", at positions 1785 to 1831 of the family's 1831-position model. The record is from RNAcentral. Lineage: Eukaryota; Fungi; Glomeromycota.